Molecule: ribosomal RNA, 279 nt
Filed under: uncultured bacterium
Lineage: Bacteria
Description: partial 16S ribosomal RNA
Rfam family: Bacterial small subunit ribosomal RNA
Source: RNAcentral
UGCCAGCCGCCGCGGUAAUACGUAGGUGGCAAGCGUUAUCCGGAAUUACUGGGCGUAAAGGGCACGCAGGCGGCCAAAAAAGUCCGACGUGAAAGCUCCUGGCUUAACUGGGAGAGGUCGUUGGAAACUGAUUGGCUUGAGGUAGUGAGAGGGGUGCGGAAUUCCCGGUGUAGUGGUGGAAUGCGUAGAUAUCGGGAGGAACACCAGUGGCGAAAGCGGCACCCUGGCACUAUUCUGACGCUCAUGUGCGAAAGCGUGGGGAGCGAACGGGAUUAGAUA